GCGCUCCGCGGUUCCUGCGCUCCAGGUCCGCUACCUGAUGCAACUCGACUUCAGGGACAAGCGCUCAGUAGUUUCUGCGCGCCGGGUUCACUACACAGUGAAACUCGACUUCCUGAACAAGCGCUCCGUAAUUCUGACUGUCCAGGUCAUUGAUCUGGUGACUUUUGGCCUCCAGGACUAAUUUUCAAGUUUACAAGUUUGAUUAUUGAAAACGUCACGUUUUGUACCAUCAAACUAACAUGCAUGCUUCGGAUGACAUUUUGAAUCGGGAAAAGAACCGAACGACCAGGAUCAACAAAUUGCAAUUGCAAUUGGGCAAUAAUCCUUACACAAAAUUUUUGAUGUGUUCUGAUACUGAAAAUGUUAAUUAGUAUCCGAGGUAUAACCCGAGGUGAUUCGCGGUGGUCGUUCGAUGUGGUUGAAAGUGGUCGGAGGUGGUCGCAGGUGGUUAGGGGUGGUUGCGGGUGAUCAAGGUGGAUGAGGAGGAGACCGAGGAGGAGCAGGACGAGAAAGAUGAGAAGAACAAGGUGGAUGAGGAGGACGAGGAUUUGUGCACGGUAUAACCGGAGGUGGAUGGAGGUGGUUAUUGGAGGUGGUUGCAGCUGAUCGAGGAGGAGGACGAAGAAGACGAGAACGAGGAUUUCCGCACGGUGUAAGCCGAGGUGGUUAUCGGUGGUUGUUGGAGGUGGUUGGCGGUGGUUGGCAGUGGUUGGAGGUGGACGAGGAGGAGAACGAGGAAGACGAGGAAACCAACGUGGACGAGGAUGAUGAGGAUUUGUGCACUGUAUAUCCCGAGGUGGUUGACGGUGGUUGGAGGUGGUCGAGCUGGACGAGGUGGAGGACGAGGGUUCGUGCUCCGUGAGUUUAACAUUUUUACAAUAUUUGAUAAAGUAGAAUCAGCAUCAGAAGUAGGAUCAGGGGAAGAUGUAGAAAUAGGAGGAGAAGUAGGAGUAGUGGUAGGAAUAGGACUCGGAGUAGGAAUAUGAGUAGAAAUAGGAAUAGUAGGAGUUAGAGUGGGAUUGGGAGUAGGAG
RNAcentral lists this long non-coding RNA (1032 nucleotides) under Neodiprion lecontei (redheaded pine sawfly). Its description in RNAcentral is "uncharacterized LOC124292775". The record is from RNAcentral. Lineage: Eukaryota; Metazoa; Arthropoda; Insecta; Hymenoptera; Diprionidae.